AUCCGACCUCAAAUCGGGGGGACUACCCGCUGAACUUAA
RNAcentral lists this ribosomal RNA (39 nucleotides) under Polyporus umbellatus. Its description in RNAcentral is "partial 28S ribosomal RNA". The record is from RNAcentral. Lineage: Eukaryota; Fungi; Basidiomycota; Agaricomycetes; Polyporales; Polyporaceae.